This 456-nucleotide ribosomal RNA is filed under the name uncultured bacterium. RNAcentral's name for it is "bacterial SSU rRNA". It matches the Rfam family "Bacterial small subunit ribosomal RNA", at positions 1 to 504 of the family's 1533-position model. The record is from RNAcentral.
GACUAGAGUUUGAUCCUGGCUCAGAACGAACGCUGGCGGCAGGCUUAACACAUGCAAGUCGAACGCUCGUAGCAAUACGGGAGUGGCAGACGGGUGAGUAACGCGUGGGAACAUACCCUUUGGUUCGGAAUAACUGAGAGAAAUUUCAGCUAAUACCGGAUGAGCCCUACGGGGGAAAGAUUUAUCGCCAAAGGAUUGGCCCGCGUCUGAUUAGCUAGUUGGUGAGGUAACGGCCCACCAAGGCGACGAUCAGUAGCUGGUCUGAGAGGAUGAUCAGCCACACUGGGACUGAGACACGGCCCAGACUCCUACGGGAGGCAGCAGUGGGGAAUAUUGGACAAUGGGGGCAACCCUGAUCCAGCCAUGCCGCGUGAGUGAUGAAGGCCUUAGGGUUGUAAAGCUCUUUCGUCAGGGAAGAUAAUGACGGUACCUGAAGAAGAAGCCCCGGCUAACUUC